UUGGUGUGUGUGUGUGUGUG
RNAcentral lists this microRNA (20 nucleotides) under Corchorus olitorius. RNAcentral describes it as "mmu-miR-466i-". The record is from RNAcentral. Lineage: Eukaryota; Viridiplantae; Streptophyta; Magnoliopsida; Malvales; Malvaceae.